AGUCAACAUGCCCAGAGGACGUGGAUAACCUCGGGAAACUGAGGAUAAACCGCGAUAGGUCAUAAUAUCUGGAAUGAUUUAUGGUUUAAAUCUAUAUGGCCUCUGGAUUGGACUGCGGCCGAUCAGGCUGUUGGUGAGGUAAUGGCCCACCAAACCUAAAACCGGUACGGGCUCUGAGAGGAGAAGCCCGGAGAUGGGCACUGAGACAAGGGCCCAGGCCCUAUGGGGCGCAGCAGGCGCGAAAACUCUGCAAUAAGCGAAAGCUUGACAGGGUUAUUCUGAGUGAUUUCCGCUAAGGAAAUCUUUUGGCACCUCUAAAAAUGGUGCAGAAUAAGGGGUGGGCAAGCCUGGUGUCAGCCGCCGCGGUAAUACCAGCACCCCGAGUGGUCGGGACGAUUAUUGGGCCUAAAGCAUCCGUAGCCGGUUCUACAAGUCUUCCGUCAAAUCCACCUGCUUAACAGAUGGGCUGCGGAGGAUACUAUGGAGCUAGGAGGCGGGAGAGGCAAGCGGUACUUAGUGGGUAGGGGUAAAAUCCGUUGAUCCAUUGAAGACCACCAGUGGCGAAGGCGGCUUGCCAGAACGCACUCGACGGUGAGGGAUGAAAGCUGGGGGAGCAAACCGGAUUAGAUACCCGGGUAGUCCCAGCUGUAAACGAUGCAGACUCGGUGAUGAAUAGGCUUCGUGCCUAUUCAGUGCCGCAGGGAAGCCGUUAAGUCUGCCGCCUGGGGAGUACGGUCGCAAGACUGAAACUUAA
RNAcentral lists this ribosomal RNA (754 nucleotides) under uncultured archaeon. RNAcentral describes it as "bacterial SSU rRNA". It matches the Rfam family "Archaeal small subunit ribosomal RNA", at positions 102 to 859 of the family's 1478-position model. The record is from RNAcentral.